AUUGAACGCUGGCGGAAUGCUUUACACAUGCAAGUCGAACGGCAGCACGGGGCAACCUGGUGGCGAGUGGCGAACGGGUGAGUAAUAUAUCGGAACGUGCCCAAUCGUGGGGGAUAACGUAGCGAAAGUUACGCUAAUACCGCAUACGAUCUACGGAUGAAAGCGGGGGAUCGCAAGACCUCGCGCGAAUGGAGCGGCCGAUAUCAGAUUAGGUAGUUGGUGGGGUAAAGGCUCACCAAGCCAACGAUCUGUAGCUGGUCUAGAGAGGACGACCAGCCACACUGGAACUGAGACACGGUCCAGACUCCUACGGGAGGCAGCAGUGGGGAAUUUUGGACAAUGGGCGCAAGCCUGAUCCAGCCAUUCCGCGUGCAGGAUGAAGGCCUUCGGUGUAACUAGCUUUGUACGGUAACGAACGGUCGUAGCCUAACUACGGACGGGCUAAUUGACGGUACCGUUAACGGAAUAAGACAACCGGCUAACUUACCGUAGCCAGGCAGACCGCCGGUAACGUACUAA
Molecule: ribosomal RNA, 519 nt
Filed under: uncultured bacterium
Lineage: Bacteria
Description: bacterial SSU rRNA
Rfam family: Bacterial small subunit ribosomal RNA
Source: RNAcentral